UACGUAGGGUGCAAGCGUUGUCCGGAAUUAUUGGGCGUAAAGAGCUCGUAGGCGGUCCGUCGCGUCGGCUGUGAAAACUCGGGGCUCAACCCCGAGCCUGCAGUCGAUACGGGCAGACUAGAGGUAUGCAGGGGAGAACGGAAUUCCUGGUGUAGCGGUGAAAUGCGCAGAUAUCAGGAGGAACACCGGUGGCGAAGGCGGUUCUCUGGGCAUUACCUGACGCUGAGGAGCGAAAGUGUGGGGAGCGAACAGG
RNAcentral lists this ribosomal RNA (253 nucleotides) under uncultured bacterium. RNAcentral describes it as "partial 16S ribosomal RNA". It matches the Rfam family "Bacterial small subunit ribosomal RNA", at positions 524 to 776 of the family's 1533-position model. The record is from RNAcentral.